UGGGGAAUCUUGCACAAUGGGGGAAACCCUGAUGCAGCGACGCCGCGUGAGCGAUGAAGGUUUUCGAAUCGUAAAGCUCUGUCCUAUGGGAAGAUAAUGACGGUACCAUAGGAGGAAGCCCCGGCUAACUACGUGCCAGCAGCCGCGGUAAUACGUAGGGGGCGAGCGUUGUCCGGAAUUACUGGGCGUAAAGGGUUCGCAGGCGGCAUGACAAGUCCGAUGUAAAAGGCGAAAGCUCAACUUUCGUAAGCAUCGGAAACUGUCAAGCUUGAGUGAAGGAGAGGCAAGUGGAAUUCCUAGUGUAGCGGUGGAAUGCGUAGAUAUUAGGAGGAAUACCAGUGGCGAAGGCGACUUGCUGGACUUCAACUGACGCUGAGGAACGAAAGCGUGGGUAGCAAACAGG
This 403-nucleotide ribosomal RNA is filed under the name bacterium. Its description in RNAcentral is "partial 16S ribosomal RNA". It matches the Rfam family "Bacterial small subunit ribosomal RNA", at positions 355 to 776 of the family's 1533-position model. The record is from RNAcentral.